AAAAAUUUGAGCCUUUUUAUUAAGUCAUUAAAUGCUAAAGUAUAAUUCUUUCAUUCGUACACAAUUAUUAAAGAGUGCAUAAAGAUUAUGGUAAACAUACAUAUUAUUCUUGUAUUUUCAAAACACGUAUUAACAAACCUUUGAAACCAAGCACAACAUCUAACAAUUUACAAUACAUGUCCACUAAAAACUCAAAACAUACAUAUAGAAUUUGCUAGACUUUAGCUUUUUGCUAUCCUUUCUGGUAAAUGUCUCUAAUCCUGCAAUACUUCACCUAGGGUUAAGGGAAGGUGGUAAGCUUUGGGAAGCUUAGUGAAUAAACUAACAGAUGUUGAUUUGUUAUAUUAUUCAAUAUGCAAUGUGUCAAUCACAUGAGUUUGCACAACACAAAUAAUUUACAUAAGAUAGACUUUCCACCAAUGAUUUUUCGAUAACCAUAGUGCUAGGACUUCCUCUUAUUACAUAAUAUAACUAACAUGCUUGGCUCAUAAAAAAGCUCAUUGGAUCUUUCUCUAUCAUAAAUAGUGAGCCAGGGGCUUAUUAAGCCUCACUUGGUCUUACCACAUUAUAUCGUGCAUGAUUAUAAUAUAUCCAUAUCAUAAGGCAAAUCAAUGGGUCAUCCAACAUUUAUCGAGCAUUAACAAUAAUUAUGCAAUAAUGCAGCAUAUUUGUAUUCUAGAUACAUACAACCUAAUAAAUUAUGAAAUGAUGCAUGUGAAUAAUUAUGAGCUCAAUUUUAAUUAAUUAAAGAGAUUAUCAUUUGUUAGGGUUAGUGUAACUCACCUCUUGUAGCCUAUUAAACACCAAACACGAACAGUCGCUAUUCCUUAACUAUAGCUUUUCGGGUCCCUCAAGUUUGAUCCUAUUGUAGAGGGACCAACACUAGAAGAGCUACCAAGUGAAGAAGAGAAGCCCAUAGAAACACCUCUCGCUGCUAUGGAAAUGGGGUUGAUACUGGCCAUGGGAAAGAUUGGUAGUGAGAAAACCAAAGUGGCACUGAAAAUGGGCUGAGGAAACACGAAUCAUGUGAAAGAGAGACCCACAGCUAGCGAUGGCAUACGAAUGGCGAUAGGGAUGAACCGAUAGCAUGGAUGAACACCAAAAGACCAACAUUAGUCGUGGCGCGGUGGUUGGCUGAGCAUGAAUCACACAAAGGAGAUGGCGGCGCACUGAAGAAAGAGAGAAGAAGAGGAAAAGAAGAAAAAAAAGACUUAUGAGUUUUGUGAUUUUAUGAAGAAAAUGGAGGUUGGAUAGUGAAAAAGAAGAGUUUGUUCAAGGGGAAUGGAUUUCGAUGAUGAUUUUGAAGAACUUAAAAAAUGAUGGUGUAGAAAUU
Molecule: unclassified non-coding RNA, 1333 nt
Filed under: Hevea brasiliensis (rubber tree)
Lineage: Eukaryota; Viridiplantae; Streptophyta; Magnoliopsida; Malpighiales; Euphorbiaceae
Source: RNAcentral